AGAGUUUGAUCCUGGCUCAGAUUGAACGCUGGCGGCAUGCCUUACACAUGCAAGUCGAACGGCAGCACGAGAGCUUGCUCUUGGUGGCGAGUGGCGAACGGGUGAGUAAUAUAUCGGAACGUACCCUAGAGUGGGGGAUAACGCAGCGAAAGUUGCGCUAAUACCGCAUACGAUCUACGGAUGAAAGUGGGGGAUCGCAAGACCUCAUGCUCAUGGAGCGGCCGAUAUCUGAUUAGCUAGUUGGUAGGGUAAAAGCCUACCAAGGCUUCGAUCAGUAGCUGGUCUGAGAGGACGACCAGCCACACUGGAACUGAGACACGGUCCAGACUCCUACGGGAGGCAGCAGUGGGGAAUUUUGGACAAUGGGCGCAAGCCUGAUCCAGCAAUGCCGCGUGAGUGAAGAAGGCCUUCGGGUUGUAAAGCUCUUUUGUCAGGGAAGAAACGGUGGACUCUAAUACAGAUCACUAAUGACGGUACCUGAAGAAUAAGCACCGGCUAACUACGUGCCAGCAGCCGCGGUAAUACGUAGGGUGCAAGCGUUAAUCGGAAUUACUGGGCGUAAAGCGUGCGCAGGCGGUUGUGCAAGACAGAUGUGAAAUCCCCGGGCUCAACCUGGGAAUUGCAUUUGUGACUGCACGGCUAGAGUGUGUCAGAGGGGGGUAGAAUUCCACGUGUAGCAGUGAAAUGCGUAGAGAUGUGGAGGAAUACCGAUGGCGAAGGCAGCCCCCUGGGAUAACACUGACGCUCAUGCACGAAAGCGUGGGGAGCAAACAGGAUUAGAUACCCUGGUAGUCCACGCCCUAAACGAUGUCUACUAGUUGUUGGGUCUUAAUUGACUUAGUAACGCAGCUAACGCGUGAAGUAGACCGCCUGGGGAGUACGGUCGCAAGAUUAAAACUCAAAGGAAUUGACGGGGACCCGCACAAGCGGUGGAUGAUGUGGUUUAAUUCGAUGCAACGCGAAAAACCUUACCUACCCUUGACAUGUACGGAAUCCCUGAGAGAUUAGGGAGUGCUCGAAAGAGAACCGUAACACAGGUGCUGCAUGGCUGCCGUCAGCUCGUGUCGUGAGAUGUUGGGUUAAGUCCCGCAACGAGCGCAACCCUUGUCAUUAGUUGCUACGAAAGGGCACUCUAAUGAGACUGCCGGUGACAAACCGGAGGAAGGUGGGGAUGACGUCAAGUCCUCAUGGCCCUUGUGGGUAGGGCUUCACACGUCAUACAAUGGUACAUACAGAGGGCCGCCAACCCGCGAGGGGGAGCUAAUCCCAGAAAGUGUAUCGUAGUCCGGAUUGUAGUCUGCAACUCGACUACAUGAAGUUGGAAUCGCUAGUAAUCGCGGAUCAGCAUGUCGCGGUGAAUACGUUCCCGGGUCUUGUACACACCGCCCGUCACACCAUGGGAGCGGGUUUCACCAGAAGUAGGUAGCCUAACCGUAAGGAGGGCGCUUACCACGGUGGGAUUCGUGACUGGGGUGAAGUCGUAACAAGGUA
This 1491-nucleotide ribosomal RNA is filed under the name metagenome. Its description in RNAcentral is "bacterial SSU rRNA". It matches the Rfam family "Bacterial small subunit ribosomal RNA". The record is from RNAcentral.